RNAcentral lists this ribosomal RNA (460 nucleotides) under Opterus echinatus. RNAcentral describes it as "partial 16S ribosomal RNA". Lineage: Eukaryota; Metazoa; Arthropoda; Insecta; Coleoptera; Curculionidae. The record is from RNAcentral.
AAGUUUCAUUUUAAUCCAACAUCGARGUCGCAAUCCCUUUUUUCGAUUUGAACUCUCUAAAAAAAUUACGCUGUUAUCCCUAARGUAAUUUACUCUUAUAAUCUAAAUUUUARGAUCAAUUACUCAUAAAUCAAUGUUAAAAUAAAAAAAAAGUUUAUUUAGUUUUUCAAUCGCCCCAACCAAAUUAAUCAUUAUAUAAAAAUCUAUUAAUCCAAAAAACCCCCAUAUAACUUUCAAUAAAACUCUAUAGGGUCUUCUCGUCUUUUAUUAUAAUUUAAGCUUUUUAACUUAAAAAUAAAAUUCUAAUAAAUUUAAAUAGAGACAGUCAUUUUCCCAUCCAACCUUUCAUACCAGCUUCCAAUUAARAAACUAAUGAUUAUGCUACCUUUGCACGGUCAGUAUACCGCGGCCAUUUAAUAUAUCUCAUUGGGCAGGCGAGACCUUAAAUUAUAAUCAAAAA